UACCACCACCACUCCCCCUCCUCCUGGGAUGGUGAUUCCAGGGCCAGGCGGCAGGCUAUAACUAGCGCCCUUCCAGGUGGAACCCGCCAGAGCCCCGAGGCAGCCUAGGAUUUUCUGAGAUCAGACACACUUGGGCCGGGUUGGGAGGAACUGGCAGGAAAAGGACUGAACCCUUAAUGUCAGGCGGUUUUGAAGCACCUGGGGCAAGCUAUGGAAAUCCCCACAGGAAGGCUCACGCAGUCUCUUAGGCGGCUGCCCUCCACCUGCCACGUUCUUUUUGAUUGACUAAAAAACGCUGAAUGAAGAACGAAGUCGCGUGGAAACCCUCGCCGCGCGCCUGCAGCGGACAGCGCAGCCCGGGAGGUUCGGCUGCCGACUUGCGCCCGGGGGCUGCGCUGCGAGCGGCCACGCAUGGCGGCUGGACCCGGGCGGCCGCAAGGGCUUGGCUGGGCCGCGGGAGGCGGGAGGUUCUUCGUCCUCCCGAGCCAUCUCCCUGAACUGACAAGCAGGACUCCCGGGUCCAGGGGGCACAGGGCCCGGGGCGGUGACCCGGCGGAUCGGGCUGCCGGAGGAGCCCACUGUAAAUGCCGCAACUGGCCCCAAACACUGCGUUCCUGGACUGCACCAGCAGCUCCUGGCGCGGCCGCAGAGUUGGUGGAUAUUUUCCAAGGGGGAAAAAAAUCUUUUAAAUGCCAUCUGUUUACUUUAAAAAUGUUGAUUACUUAAGAAAAACGAAUGGAUGUCUGGGCAAAGGUAUGGACGUCACAAUUAUUUUGAAGGCGUCCUUUUUAACUUUAAACAGACCACGCCAGGAGGAGACUGCUGACCCAGAGCGCAUUACCUAAAAUCUGGUACCCAGAGUGCACCCUUCGCCCUCGUUGGAGUUCUCUCCUCUCUGCCAAGCUUUGCUCCGUGCCAGAGGUGUGCUCCAUUGUACCUCCGCUCUGUCCCUGCAGUCAGGCAACCAAUUGGAGAAGAGUAUAAAUAGUAAUUAACCAGGGAGAGUUGUAAUUCAGAAACCUAGUUAAAACAAGUCCUCAAAAACUAGAGAAUAUGAGAGUGGGGAGACAUUUUGAAGGCAUUAAGAACAAAAAACGAUGGGGACGAAUGGUUGAGUCUGAGGAUCAGCAUCGUAAUCUGUUAGAGAACGAGGUCGUGGCUGUGUCUGUGAGUCGUUAAUGGGUUUAAUCGGUUGAUACACAGCCUGCUAGUGGCCUAACCAGUAACCCAGGGCCUGGCAGAUUUGCAUGACAUCUCGGAGUUUGAUUGCUCUUCCUUCCACUUGGCAAAAGGAGACACCAUCAGCCGGAUCAGGAGGGGUCAUGGUGAGAUGGAACCCACCGAGGUGGUGUACAGAGCUGGCGCUGCCAAUGGCCAGAGUGGCAGCCUUUCUACCUCCUUAACCCUGCAAAAAUCAAACGUGCUAGUACGCACUGUCCAUCCACACUGGAACUCCAGUUGGUUUUAGUCUGCGAUGAUGACUCUUCUGGGUUGACUUUUCCAGUUCAUUAUGCAGCCCUCUUGAAGCAGGCCUCCCAAACUUAGCAGACACCAAUGAGAACCUCACAAAGAGGCUCAUCAAGCAGGCUGGUGAAACUGGGUGUUACUUCCUGUUCCAUGGGUACCCCAUAGUGUUUGGGAAACACCGGGCUGUGGUUCAGGAGAAUUUCACAUAUGCUAAGAUGGAGAAAGAACCUGCCCUUUACAUUUAGGCUUGGGAUGUUAAUUUAAAGUUUGAAUGACCAAAAAUUAAAUCUGUAACUUUUAAAGUUUCUCUUUGUGAUUUUACUUAAGUGUUGGUAGAUAUUCUUAAAUUGUAAUGACCUCAGUUUGGGAAUUAAGUUAGCCAAAUAUUGUGUAAUUAUUGUUUGUUAUACAAAAAUAUGCCUUAGACUGUACAGCGGCAGAAACUCCCUCUACCACCUCGGUCCCCCUUUCCAUUCUGCGUUAUACAAAAUAAGCUGACACGUUAAUGCUGUGGCCCACAUUAAACAAAGUAUACCGUA
RNAcentral lists this long non-coding RNA (2006 nucleotides) under Homo sapiens (human). RNAcentral describes it as "non-protein coding lnc-COX10-3:2". Lineage: Eukaryota; Metazoa; Chordata; Mammalia; Primates; Hominidae. The record is from RNAcentral.